Molecule: ribosomal RNA, 406 nt
Filed under: uncultured bacterium
Lineage: Bacteria
Description: partial 16S ribosomal RNA
Rfam family: Bacterial small subunit ribosomal RNA
Source: RNAcentral
GACGAACGCUGGCGGCGCGCUUAACACAUGCAAGUCGAGCGAAGCGGCGGACGGGUGAGUAACACGUGAGUAACCUGCCUUAGACAUUGGGAUAGCCUCGGGAAACCGGGAUUAAUAACAAAUGGUCUAAGAUGGACUCGCGUCCCAUUAGCUAGUUGGUGGGUAACGGCCCACCAAGGCGACGAUGGGUAGCCGGCCUGGGAGAGUGAACGGCCACAUUGGAACUGGGAGACGGUCCAAAGUCUACGGGAGGGAGGAGUGGGGAAUAUUGCACAAUGGAGGGAGCUCUGAUGCAGCGACGCCGCGUGAACGAAGAAGGCUUUCGAGUCGUAAAGUUCUUUUAUAUGGGAAGCGGUACCAAACGAAAAAGCCCCGGCUAACUACGUGCCAGCAGCCGCGGUAAUUC